AGGGAGUUUGGGGUACCAUGGCUCAGAUUGAACGUUGGCGGCACGCCUAAUACAUGCAAGUCGAACGAGAAAUUGCACCUUCGGGUGCGAGUAAAGUGGCGGACGGGUGAGUAACGCGUAGGAAUAUACCUAGUAGUGGGGGACAACUCGAGGAAACUCGAGCUAAUACCGCAUACGCUCCUCUUCUUGGUUGAAGAGUGAGGAAAGUGGGGGAUCUUCGGACCUCACGCUAUCAGAGUAGCCUGCGUUGGAUUAGCUUGUUGGUGAGGUAGAGGCUCACCAAGGCGACGAUCCAUAGCUGGUCUGAGAGGACGAUCAGCCACACUGGGAACUGAGACACGGUCCAGACUCCUACGGGGAGGCAGCAGUAGGGAAUCUUGGGCAAUGGGCGAAAGCCUGACCCAGCGAUGCCGCGUGUGUGAAGAAGGCCUUUAGGGUUGUAAAGCACUUUCAGCAGCGAAGAAUUGUCCGGGAGUUAAUAGCUCCACGGGCUUUGACGUUAACUGCAGAAGAAGUACCGGCUUAACUCCGUGUCCAGCUAGC
Molecule: ribosomal RNA, 543 nt
Filed under: uncultured bacterium
Lineage: Bacteria
Description: bacterial SSU rRNA
Rfam family: Bacterial small subunit ribosomal RNA
Source: RNAcentral